This 418-nucleotide ribosomal RNA is filed under the name uncultured Bacillus sp. RNAcentral describes it as "bacterial SSU rRNA". It matches the Rfam family "Bacterial small subunit ribosomal RNA", at positions 9 to 417 of the family's 1533-position model. The record is from RNAcentral. Lineage: Bacteria; Bacillati; Bacillota; Bacilli; Caryophanales; Bacillaceae.
GAGUUUGAUCGUGGCUCAGGACGAACGCUGGCGGCGUGCCUAAUACAUGCAAGUCGAGCGAAUCAAUAGGAGCUUGCUCCUGUUGAUUAGCGGCGGACGGGUGAGUAACACGUGGGCAACCUGCCUGUAAGACUGGGAUAACUUCGGGAAACCGGAGCUAAUACCGGAUAAUCCUUUUUCUCUCAUGAGGAAAAGCUGAAAGUCGGUUUCGGCUGACACUUACAGAUGGGCCCGCGGCGCAUUAGCUAGUUGGUGAGGUAACGGCUCACCAAGGCGACGAUGCGUAGCCGACCUGAGAGGGUGAUCGGCCACACUGGGACUGAGACACGGCCCAGACUCCUACGGGAGGCAGCAGUAGGGAAUCUUCCGCAAUGGACGAAAGUCUGACGGAGCAACGCCGCGUGAGUGAUGAAGGCCU